ACAAAAAGAAAAUAUUUUUUAAAGGGGCUGAGGAUAUAGCUCUAGUUAAGAACCCCUGUGUUCAAUCCCCAGUACCAAAAAGAGAAAAAAAAAGAUUAAAAAUAGACACAAAAACUUUUAUGAAAAAUAACUCCCUGUUGACUCUUCUCCAUGUUUGUACAAGCAAAUUCCUGGAAUUUCAUGCUUAUAGCAGUUGUUCCUAAACCUUUGUGUGUAUCAAAAUCACUUAGAAGGCUUGUUAAAACAGAUUACACAGGAUAUGGUGGCAAAUGCCUAUAAUCCAGUAACUCCAGAGGCUGAGGCAGGAUGAUCACAAGUUUGGGGCCAGCCUUGGCAAUUAUGGAGGCCCUCAGCACUUUCAUGAAAUCCUGUCUCAAAAUUAAAAAGGGUUGGGGAUGUGACUCAGUGGUUAAGCACCCCUGGGUUCAAUCCAUAGUACCCCUCACCGCCCCCCCCCAAAAAAAAAAAACACCAUACAUUGCUGAUCCUAUCCCCAAUCCCAGAAUUUCUGAUUCUGCAGGUUUGGGGUAAGGUGUUAGAAUUGGCAUUUCUAACACAGUUAUAGGUGAUGUUGAUAUUGAUGCUCAGCCACCACCUUUGAGAAUUCCGGCUCUCCAGUGGAUAAAUGGCAUCUUGUAGAUCUAGAAGAGCUCAUACUAAACUGUUUCGUGGACACUAAGAACUAGAAAUUAUUUGUAUUAGCCCCUAAGUUAAUGCAGAAUCACCUCUUAUGCUUCUUAUUGAUUCAUUAUUAACUUUUAGUUCCAAAUACUCCCCUUUUUGCCUAAUCUAUGAAAAUGUAGCUGGGCCCUGUAAAUAUUUUUCCUUUACAAAGUGGUAUGAUGUUAAGUUUUGUCAGUAGAGGGUGCUGGGAGAAAAGAUCUUACUUUUUGAUUCCUUAGUGUUUUCUUGCUAGUCGCCUGUAGCAAGCAUGACUUCUUCAGGUUUUAAUUCCUAGGAUGUAGGCCACAGACCCUCAGGGCCAGCAGCUGUAGUGGAGUGCCUCCUGAGAGAUACCUGAGCACUUUUCCAUGGUACCCUAAGAGGGUAGAUUUUCCCCAUAUUCCAGAGAAUGGAUUUUUACCAGAGGAUUUUACCAGAGCUACUUACCUACCAUUCAGUAAUCCAUGGCAGUGCCAUCUCCAACAAGGCCUAGUUUUCUUUAUUGAGGGCAAGUCAGGCAAAGGGGAAGGCUCUUGGGUGAUCACUCUUCUUAUCCUUGGAGGGUGAGGCAGUUUCUUUUUUGCCUUCUAUAGAGUUUUCUUUACUUCUUACUAGCCAAGGCUUUUUUUAUAUUUUUAUUUAUGUAACAAAUAUCUAAUUAUAUUUAUUAAAUCACUUAUGUGUGUUUAUGUUUUAUAUUUUUUAUAUUUUAUACAUUGUACAUAUACUUACAUAAAUAUAUUGG
This 1408-nucleotide long non-coding RNA is filed under the name Marmota monax (woodchuck). Lineage: Eukaryota; Metazoa; Chordata; Mammalia; Rodentia; Sciuridae. The record is from RNAcentral.